GAUGAACGCUAGCUACAGGCUUAACACAUGCAAGUCGAGGGGAAACGACAUCGAAAGCUUGCUUUUGAUGGGCGUCGACCGGCGCACGGGUGAGUAACGCGUAUCCAACCUGCCCACCACUUGGGGAUAACCUUGCGAAAGUAAGACUAAUACCCAAUGACGUCUCUAGAAGACAUCUGAAAGAGAUUAAAGAUUUAUCGGUGAUGGAUGGGGAUGCGUCUGAUUAGCUUGUUGGCGGGGUAACGGCCCACCAAGGCGACGAUGCAUAGCCGAGUUGAGAGGUUGAUCGGCCACAUUGGGACUGAGACACGGCCCAGACUCCUACGGGAGGCAGCAGUGGGGAAUAUUGCGCAAUGGGGGCAACCCUGACGCAGCAACGCCGCGUGAAGGAUGACGGUCUUCGGAUUGUAAACUUCUUUAAGUGUGGAAGAAAUUGACGGUACACACAGAAUAAGCCACGGCUAACUACGUG
Molecule: ribosomal RNA, 472 nt
Filed under: uncultured bacterium
Lineage: Bacteria
Description: bacterial SSU rRNA
Rfam family: Bacterial small subunit ribosomal RNA
Source: RNAcentral